CUUCCUUUAUUGUUUCUGGUUUGGAAAAUAAAUAAUAACAAAGAAAAUCAAGUAGACAUAGCAGAUAACAAGAAAAGAAAGAAGUUAUUCCCCGCUAAUGGAAGAUCUGGGGAUAAAAUAAUCCCAUGCUUGUUUGGACUCACAAAUCCAUGCUAAGAAAUUCAGCAGCAUCCGGGGGGUGUGUCCAGGUGUGUGUGCGUUCAACUGCUGGAGCAGCCUGGGAUCAGCUUUCCCCUCAACACCAACUAGCACUUUGCUGAAGGCUCACCAGGCAUUGCUUGGUAGUGCCCACCACUGUACUGGAUGAAAGCUCAAGUGGGAAAAUAGCCUUACUGUUGCACUUGGAUCCUUCUUUUGUUUGCCUCAUUUAUUGGACUAUAUGCAGCCAGAAAGUCCACGCUAAAAGCUGAUGUGGAAUACAGAUACCUUUUGUCUCACUCCAGUGCCUCGUAAGACAUUGUUAUUAAAAUCACCCUGGUAAAAUGAGUGUCCAAAAACAAAGCAAAAAAAGCCUUCAAAUAAGCAGCACAAUUAAGAUACUACUUUGGUUUUCACAUUUGAGGAUGGUUCUAAUUUUUUUGUGAAAGCCUGAGAUUAGACAAAUUAAAGGAAGCGAAAGAACUGAUUCAGAAAUCCUUUCUGAAAAGAUCCCAAAUUAGAUCAUGUAAUUAGUACGUGAGCAUUAUAAGCAUUGACAUUUGGUGGAAAUACAUUUAUGCAAACAAAUUCGGUUCACAUGGUUUAGGAACACUGAAUGAUCUUUAGAAAAGAAUGAUGAUUGAGGUUUAUGUAAGUUUUUGUCAGAUUUAAUUCUGGAUAUUCAAUAGCUCUUAAAACAAGAUUUCUCACCAGUUACUGUAGGAUAUCCCUAGUGGGAAAACUAUUAAUGGUAAUUGUUUAAAAAUGGCAGAAAAAGAAUGCUAGUAAAUGACUGUUUUGAUGUAAGGAAUGUAUGCUGCUGAAGAAACAGGGCAGAUCCCAUAAUUAGUAUCUUCUGCAUUUUUCCUUGCAUAACCUUCCAUGUUUUGCCAGCAAUUUCUUUUGUCUUUCCAAUACCGUUUUGUAUUCAUAAAGCUUGCAGAUUCUGCUGGCAAAAAUAACAGGUAAGAAAACAGUUACAAACAGAAGCCUGUUCUUCUGCCCCUGCCCCCUUCCUAUGGAGAAACAGGAAAAAGCGGGGUGAGAAGAACACUCCUUGGAGAGAAAAACUCUUCCAAAUUUACUUUAAUUUUGCUAAGUGGGCACCGUUGUUAUUGAAAGCUGCUUGCCUAGAAGAACAACUGCUCUUGAGAACUCUUGAGAGCAUGUGAAGAAAUCUGGAGUUGAUUUGUGUAAGCAGGAGGAACAAUCUGUUUCGCUUCACCAGCAUCAUGCAGUUUCGGUGUUACAACAUUCACUUGUUAGAGGAGCUCUGUACAAAAGCUAAUGUUUCUUCAUGGCUAGAGGUGGGCUGAGGUUCCUUCGUCAAUUAAUUUCUAAAUGUUGGGUGUCUGAAGAACACUUCUGGAAACCAGAUUUGCAGGAGGCUCUUUGUUUAGACACUACAGAGGAAUACCUUAAGGAUGCAUCUCAAACUCAAACAUCACAAACAUCCCAUCAACAGAAACCUUUCAGUUCAGUGUCAUCCAUGGAGCGAGAUUCAGAUGCCUGUGCAAGAACUUGCAGCAGCUGUUCUGGAUGUCCUCAAGAUGUAAGAAGCUCCCAGAGAAGGCUGAUGUGAUAUAGGAUGAAAGAAAACUGACCUUCUGGAGAUUUGAUUAGGCACCAAGCAGGACAACAUGAGGCAAGUGAAUCCUAACCUUUCUCUUAAUAAAAAAACACUGUAACUCAGCAUUAAUAAUGAGAUACAGCACUAGCUAAACAAGAUCAAAUGAUCUUGUGUGAAACAAUUAUACCUCAAAAUCAGCUCCAGUGAUACUCAAACUGGGACUUAUAAUACACCAGUCUACAAUUGUAGAAAAAAGCCUUGGGAUGCUUUUGGGAUCCCAGGUAAAUAAUAAAGAUUUAAUAAAUAGCAAAGAUUUGGGAUAUAUGAAAGAUUUAGUGGAAAAAAAGAUUCUGAUCUGUCCAAUUAGUUUGAUUAUAUUUUAUCAGAAAGCUCAGCCAAUACAAAUGAUUCUUGUUCAUUACCAGCCAGUUUAAAAUGCAGUGUUUCACUGUAAUUCAUGUAGAUGUUUUCUGUCCAGUUAAAUAUAAGAUCCUUGGGUAAAUACUGCUACUUUUUGUGUACUGAAUGUAAAGAAGCAUAAGCAACUCCAGCAAUGCUUUGGUACGAGUCAAUAUACACAUAUGUUCGCAUUUCAGACAUUGAAAGGAAAAAUUCUUUUUUACCAGUUAUGUUUUAAGCUCUACUUGCUUUUAGUAGUAAUUCAGAUGAAUUUAAAUCAAUUUACAAAGUUAAGGCUGAAAGCAUUUCAUUUAUAUUCAGUAAUAACCAACAUAAUAUGGCGUUUUACCAAAACAUGGGACGCCUCAAAAACAGAAGACUUUUUUGGUUUCUUGUUGACAGAACUGACAGCUCUUUGCUACUGCUGUUGCCAAAAUAAAUAUGCUAAUUUACUUUUUAAUUCUAUAGCAAGUGUGAAAAUACUCCACUGUGAAAAAUAAAAAUACUUUUUCAUUAUGUAUCUUAAACGGAAAUGUCUUUGAACAUUGUAUUUUUAGUUAUACAUUGAGAGUAAAAAAACUGCUGGCGGCAUUAUUUUUAAGUAGCUGAUUUCAUCACUUAAUUAAACACAGAACAGUAUUCUGGAUAGGUUUAAUAACUAAUGUAAAUCAGAUGAUAAAAAUGGCAUGUAUGAAACAAGUAAUGGCUGCUAAGACAUCUUAAUAUUCUCAAUUUCUAUAUAACUUACUAUUGUAAUCUUAACUUGAGCAUGUGUUAACUGGGCAGACAUAUUCAGCAAGUCUUCUCAGGGCCUCCACGGAGUUAGGCAGCACAUAAUCACCACUGCUCUCACUUCUGUAAUCCAUGGCGCAGGCAGGCUACGUGUUGUUUUCAAAUAGGAGUUCUCCAGAAGAGAGAAACCAGAAGCCAUUUGAAGUUCUCCUGUACUGAAACCUAUGGUUGCAUAGCUACUGUAGGACUUCUGUGGCUUUACAGAUGGAAAUCAGAAUACCUGCCACUCUGACUAAACCUAUAGGACUGCACAUGGGACUGGAAAGAUUAGAAGUGCACAUGCUGUAUUUCAAGAGACUCUUAGACUUCUUCUAAUGAGCAAGUAAGAAUACUGAUUACCCAAACAACAACAUGUGCAAAACAAUGCAUGUGUUUGCAUGUUAGAAGACAGAGGGAAGUUUAUGAGGUUAGAGGUAAAAAAAAAAAAACUUUUUAAUUGUGCAUGACUCAAAUAUAUUCUGUGAAAACUGUAUUUUUCCCUGUGGCUUUUAAAUCUAAGUGCUGCUAAGAACAAGAAACUAAGUAGGUAAAUUUUAUGUUCAAUAUAUCUCAGUUUUGUCUUCUUUAACUAACUGUUGGUUAUAUUUUUUUCUAUUCUUUAUGAGAUUUCUUUCUUUUCCUCCUUCUUCUUGUUUUCUGCCUUUCUUAGAACUAUUACAGUAAAAGUGGCAUAUGAGAAACAUCCUUCUCAUCUUGUCUCCUUAAUUCCAACCAGGAAGAUAAUGGGUUAGUGUACCGUUCUUAAGACAACUGUUAUGCAGCUUGGAGUACCUUCAGUAUGGGGAGAUACAAGAAAAGGAUCCUACCUAACCAAGGUGUGCUUAACAUCUCUACCUUCCACUCUACAGCAAAUGCUCAGUGCUGACUGUGAACACAAAUAAGGUGCAGAGAUUACCCAAAAUGUGUUCUGAUUCAAUUUACUGAGCUUAACAGCUGAAAUUUGUGCUAGGCUUUAAAAUGAAGUCAGAGCAUCUUUUCCAGUCUGCUGUGUCAGGAAAACAUUCAAACUGGAAUGAAGCAUCCAAUUCCAUAGACAGUUACGCCUGACACAGAGAGUAGACAGGUUAAGUUUUUAGCAUGAACAACUAAAGAACUUGAAGUGGUCAUUGGAAAAAACUCAUAUAUGCUUUACUAUUAUCUAAUAGUUCUGUUCAAAAAGUUAGCUGUCAGUUUGGCUUAAUGUCAAAGGAAAUAGCUUUUCAGCACUUGUCACGGCAUCACAGAACCUGAAUAUUGUUGAUGUUCUUGAUAUUUUCAGUCUGGCUCUAAACAUUACUCUGUUCGUAUUUUAGUCACCUUGGAGAGAUGAAUGAAUUUCAGAUGUUCUGCUGGUAGUGGCCACAUCUGCUGCAUCAUAGGUACAGCUGCUACCGCCUUGUACACUGUGAAUGAAUUGACAACAGUCCUGGAGUAGUAUUUUUCCUUGGAUGACUGUAAUGGGUAAGGGAAGAACUGCUUCCUUUCCUGAAGGAGGGCAACAUGGCACGUUGGUGUCUUCCUGUUAUAGAAAGCAUUUCAGAAAGCUGAUGCCAUCCAACUGUAUGUGCCUAUGACUAAGUCAACAGAGAUGCUUUAAAGAAUGUUUCCCAGUAGUCAUCAACCUUUAGCACUCCUACUUCCCAAGCUGCUAUCAGAUAGGAACACUAUAGCAGUAAUUGAAUUUGCUUUUUAUGAUCGGUGUGAGGCCUUUACUGCCAUAGACAGAGACUGCUGCCGGCAUAAUCAUAUUUUUUUCUUAUUUCAAGAUUAGAUUAAUGCAAUAAAACUUCACCUUUAAAAAAUAA
RNA transcript from Coturnix japonica (Japanese quail), 4683 nucleotides. RefSeq lists it as uncharacterized. NCBI's taxonomy places the organism in Eukaryota, Metazoa, Chordata, Aves, Galliformes, Phasianidae. The record is from RefSeq and is a predicted model, not a curated record.